This 251-nucleotide ribosomal RNA is filed under the name uncultured prokaryote. RNAcentral's name for it is "partial 16S rRNA". It matches the Rfam family "Bacterial small subunit ribosomal RNA", at positions 525 to 775 of the family's 1533-position model. The record is from RNAcentral.
ACGUAGGAGGCGAGCGUUAUCCGGAUUUACUGGGUGUAAAGGGCGUGUAGGCGGGUUUGCAAGUCGGUUGUGAAAUUCCCCGGCUUAACUCGGGCGGGGCAUUUGAAACUGCAAAUCUUGAGUACUGGUGAGGUUAGUGGAAUUCCUCGUGUAGCGGUAAAAUGCUUAGAUAUUAGGAGGAACACCAAUGGCGAAGGCGGCUAUCUGGGCAAUAACUGACGCUGAGGCGCGAAAGCGUGGGGAGCAAACAG